CUGGCGGCGUGCUUAACACAUGCAAGUCGAACGCGAAAGGGACUUCGGUCCUGAGUAAAGUGGCGCACGGGUGAGUAACGCGUAGAUAACCUGUCUUCAUGUCUGGAAUAAUACGCCGAAAGGGGUACUAAUACCGGAUAUCUUGCUUUUCAUAAGUUAUGCAAGCAAAGGUGGCCUCUGCAUAUGCUACUGCAUGAAGAGGGGUCUGCGUACCAUUAGCUAGUAGGUGGGGUAAUGGCCUACCUAGGCGACGAUGGUUAGCGGGUCUGAGAGGAUGAUCCGCCACACUGGCACUGGAACACGGGCCAGACUCCUACGGGAGGCAGCAGUGAGGAAUAUUGCGCAAUGGGGGAAACCCUGACGCAGCGACGCCGCGUGAGUGAGGAAAGGCCUUCGGGUCGUAAAGCUCUGUCAAGAGGAAAGAAGUGUACAAUGGCUAAUACCUGUUGUAUUUGACGGUACCUCUAAAGGAAGCACCGGCUAACUCCGUGCCAGCAGCUGC
Molecule: ribosomal RNA, 502 nt
Filed under: uncultured bacterium
Lineage: Bacteria
Description: bacterial SSU rRNA
Rfam family: Bacterial small subunit ribosomal RNA
Source: RNAcentral